RNAcentral lists this ribosomal RNA (160 nucleotides) under uncultured bacterium. RNAcentral describes it as "partial 16S ribosomal RNA". It matches the Rfam family "Bacterial small subunit ribosomal RNA", at positions 355 to 507 of the family's 1533-position model. The record is from RNAcentral.
UGGGGAAUAUUGGACAAUGGGCGAAAGCCUGAUCCAGCCAUGCCGCGUGCGUGAAGAAGGUCUUCGGAUUGUAAAGCACUUUAAGUUGGGAGGAAGGGCAGUCAGUUAAUACCUGGUUGUUUUGACGUUACCAACAGAAUAAGCACCGGCUAACUUCGUG